UAAUAAAAUUGUUAGAUUUUAUUAAAAUAGUAGAUUUUAAAAGUAAUGCGGAGAUUGACAAUAGAAAAAAAAAAGUUUAGUAAUAUCUAUAAAAAAAAUUACAAGAUAAAAAAAAUAAAUCUAAAAUAUAGUGGAGAGAUAAAUAAAAUAUAAUAAUAUAAUGAUUUAAAAAAUGUAUAAUGUAGCAAAUGAAAAGUAUCACUAAAGUCCAGUGCAGGUGCAAUUGAGCCAUUUAUAUAUAUUUUUUCCAUUUUGAAGUAAUAAGAUGUUUAAUUACUUUUAUUAAGUUUUGGAGAUAUGUUUACUUUAAUUCCAUCCCUUAUUUUUUUCCAUAUUGAGUAUAAAUAUUAAAAGGAUAUCCUAACUGUACACUCUCUUCGUAAUCGUAGGUAUAAAAUCUUACAUCUCCUCUAUCCAAGGAUUAACAAAACUUUAGCCACCGUUUGGUUGGGGGUUAAGGGGUGGAAUAACCCCUUAACCCCCAAUUUAUAUCCAAACACCACUUUUUUGGGGUGGGGUUAGUAAACCCCACCCCAAACCGGGUUAGUGGGGUUUACUAACCCUAGUCCCCCUCCCAACUUUAACCCCGCACGUAUCCCGAGCCCUCACCUUUUUCUUCUUUAUCAAUCAUUAACCCCACUCCCCCUCCCAACUUUAACCCCGCACGCAUCCCGAGCUCUCAUCUUUUUCUUCUUUAUCAAUCAUUAUCUUUUUAUCCCACCUACUCCAACCAAACACUUUUUUUCACUAUCCUAGACUAACUCCAACCUCCAACCAAACACAAAAAAAUUUUAACACCAUUUUAACCCUGAACUUAACCCUAUUUCUGGAAUAGCUACUUUUUCUUAAUCCCGAACCAAACGGGGGCUAAAUUUUUCCUUUUGAUAAGACUAUAA
This 896-nucleotide long non-coding RNA is filed under the name Ananas comosus (pineapple). RNAcentral describes it as "long non-coding RNA (ACOM_LNC022970)". The record is from RNAcentral. Lineage: Eukaryota; Viridiplantae; Streptophyta; Magnoliopsida; Poales; Bromeliaceae.